RNAcentral lists this ribosomal RNA (427 nucleotides) under uncultured bacterium. RNAcentral describes it as "partial 16S ribosomal RNA". It matches the Rfam family "Bacterial small subunit ribosomal RNA", at positions 354 to 796 of the family's 1533-position model. The record is from RNAcentral.
GUGGGGAAUAUUGCGCAAUGGGGGCAACCCUGACGCAGCAAUACCGCGUGAGUGAAGAAGGUUUUCGGAUCGUAAAACUCUUUUAUUGGGGAAGAAGAAGUGACGGUACCCAAUGAAGAAGUCCCGGCUAACUACGUGCCAGCAGCCGCGGUAAUACGUAGGGGACAAGCGUUGUCCGGAAUCACUGGGCGUAAAGGGCGCGUAGGCGGUUUUAUAAGUCAGAUGUGAAAGGUACCGGCUCAACCGGUGACGUGCAUUUGAAACUGUAAGACGUGAGUACUGGAGAGGCAAGUGGAAUUCCUAGUGUAGCGGUGAAAUGCGUAGAUAUUAGGAGGAACACCGGUGGCGAAGGCGGCUUGCUGGACAGAUACUGACGCUGAGGUGCGAAAGCGUGGGGAGCGAACAGGAUUAGAAACCCGGGUAGUCC